AUUGAACGCUGGCGGAAUGCUUUACACAUGCAAGUCGAACGGCAGCACGGACUUCGGUCUGGUGGCGAGUGGCGAACGGGUGAGUAAUACAUCGGAACGUGCCCAGUCGUGGGGGAUAACGUAGCGAAAGCUACGCUAAUACCGCAUACGAUCUAAGGAUGAAAGCGGGGGAUCGCAAGACCUCGCGCGAUUGGAGCGGCCGAUGGCAGAUGAGGUAGUUGGUAGGGUAAAGGCCUACCAAGCCGACGAUCUGUAGCUGGUCUGAGAGGAUGAUCAGCCACACUGGGACUGAGACACGGCCCAGACUCCUACGGGAGGCAGCAGUGGGGAAUUUUGGACAAUGGGCGCAAGCCUGAUCCAGCCACUCCGCGUGCAGGAUGAAGGCCUUCGGGUUGUAAACUGCUUUUGUACAGAACGAAGAGGCUCUGGUUAAUACCCGGGGCUCAUGACGGUACUGUAAGAAUAAGCACCGGCUAACUACGUGCCAGCAGCCGCCGUAA
RNAcentral lists this ribosomal RNA (500 nucleotides) under uncultured bacterium. RNAcentral describes it as "partial 16S ribosomal RNA". It matches the Rfam family "Bacterial small subunit ribosomal RNA", at positions 30 to 523 of the family's 1533-position model. The record is from RNAcentral.